UACGUAGGGGGCGAGCGUUGUCCGGAUUUAUUGGGCGUAAAGAGCUCGUAGGCGGUUCGAUAAGUCGGACGUGAAAUCUCCACGCUCAACGUGGAGGGGCCGUUCGAUACUGUCGUGACUCGAGUCCGGUAGGGGAGUGUGGAAUUCCCGGUGUAGCGGUGAAAUGCGUAGAUAUAGGGAAGAACACCAAUCAGGCGAAGGCAGUUAACUAUUCUAUUCCUGACAUUGAGGCAUGAAAGCGUGGGGAGCAAAACGG
This 256-nucleotide ribosomal RNA is filed under the name uncultured bacterium. RNAcentral describes it as "partial 16S ribosomal RNA". It matches the Rfam family "Bacterial small subunit ribosomal RNA", at positions 524 to 776 of the family's 1533-position model. The record is from RNAcentral.